CUACACGGGUAUCUAAUCCUGUUUGAUCCCCACGCUUUCGCACCUCAGCGUCAGUUACAGACCAGAGAGCCGCCUUCGCCACUGGUGUUCCUCCAUAUCUCUGCGCAUUUCACCGCUACACAUGGAAUUCCACUCUCCUCUUCUGCACUCAAGUAAAACAGUUUCCAAUGACCCUCCCCGGUUGAGCCGGGGGCUUUCACAUCAGACUUAUUCUACCGCCUACGCGCGCUUUACGCCCAAUAAUUCCGGAUAACGCUUGCCACCUACGUAUUACCGCGGCUGCUGGCAC
RNAcentral lists this ribosomal RNA (289 nucleotides) under uncultured Jeotgalicoccus sp. RNAcentral describes it as "partial 16S ribosomal RNA". Lineage: Bacteria; Bacillati; Bacillota; Bacilli; Caryophanales; Staphylococcaceae. The record is from RNAcentral.